Long non-coding RNA from Girardinichthys multiradiatus, 808 nucleotides. RefSeq lists it as uncharacterized. The transcript is spliced from 3 exons. Lineage: Eukaryota; Metazoa; Chordata; Actinopteri; Cyprinodontiformes; Goodeidae. The record is from RefSeq and is a predicted model, not a curated record.
AGCUGCUGGCUUUGCUUGGCGAGCUGCAGGUAAGAGCUGAAGGACGCACAGACAAAGAAUGCACAUCCAUCAGCCAAACAUCAAGAUUUGAACAGACAUGGAUGUAGACACACAGAUGGUCACUUCAUUAUGAAGUGAUUGGGUGAGAGGCUGGGUAAACCUUGGACAGGUCACAUGUCCAUUACAGAGCAACACAGAGACCAACGAGACAUACAACGAUGCACAGGACAAAUCCUCAGGACAAUUUAAAGAGACCAAUUAACAGAUUGUGGGAGGAAGCCAGAGUACCCAGAGAGACCCAUGUAUGGACAGGAAGGACAUACAAACUGCAUACAGAAAUAGCCCAGGCUGGGAUUCAGACCCAGGACCUGCUUGCUGCAAGAGUCAAACGACUGCAGGAAAACAAGAGUCAAGGCAACUCUGAGGUUCAAGGGCACAAGUUGGUACCAACAGGAGGACCAGCAGAUGAACGUAUGCCCCAGAGCACUGGCUCCCUCUUGUUGUUGUCAAUCAUUUCAAAUGGACACAUUUAACUCAUGAACUCUCAAAUUUAAAACAUAAAAGUCUUAAACUGUAUUUGGACAUUUACAUUUUCCAAUCAUUGUGUCUCUACUUGUUGUAAAACUCUCAAGCCUUUUUUUUCAAUUCCGUUUUUUUGCACAUUUACAGAGCCUCAUAAAAGUAUUCAAACCCCUUGAACCCUUUUUACUGGGAUUUUAUAUGACUAGCAAAAAGUUGUGCAUAAUAGUGAGAUGGAAGGAAUAUGAUGGUUUUACAAAAUGUUUUUACAAUAAAAAUCUGAAAAGUG